UGGCUCAGUGGUAGAGUGCUUGCCUCACAUGCAUGAGGCCCUGGGUUUGAUUCCCCAG
This 58-nucleotide transfer RNA is filed under the name Dipodomys ordii (Ord's kangaroo rat). It matches the Rfam family "tRNA", at positions 8 to 63 of the family's 71-position model. Rfam says of the family: Transfer RNA (tRNA) molecules are approximately 80 nucleotides in length. Their secondary structure includes four short double-helical elements and three loops (D, anti-codon, and T loops). Lineage: Eukaryota; Metazoa; Chordata; Mammalia; Rodentia; Heteromyidae. The record is from Rfam by way of RNAcentral.